RNAcentral lists this ribosomal RNA (468 nucleotides) under uncultured bacterium. Its description in RNAcentral is "partial 16S ribosomal RNA". It matches the Rfam family "Bacterial small subunit ribosomal RNA", at positions 38 to 507 of the family's 1533-position model. The record is from RNAcentral.
GAGGAAAGAGGGGGGCGUGCUUAACACAUGCAAGUCGAACGGACAGGCCCUGCUUUUGUGGGGUGCUCGAGUGGCGAACGGGUGAGUAACACGUGAGUAACCUGCCCUUGACUUUGGGAUAACUUCAGGAAACUGGGGCUAAUACCGGAUAGGAGCUCCUGCUGCAUGGUGGGGGUUGGAAAGUUUCGGCGGUUGGGGAUGGACUCGCGGCUUAUCAGCUUGUUGGUGGGGUAGUGGCUUACCAAGGCUUUGACGGGUAGCCGGCCUGAGAGGGUGACCGGCCACAUUGGGACUGAGAGACGGCCCAGACUCCUACGGGAGGCAGCAGUGGGGAAUAUUGCACAAUGGGCGGAAGCCUGAGGCAGCAACGCCGAGUGCGGGAUGACGGCCUUCGGGUUGUAAACCGCUUUCGCCUGUGACGAAGCGGGAGUGACGGUAAUGGGUAAAGAAGCACCGGCUAACUACGUG